GACGAGGGGUCCAAGCGUUGUUCGGAAUCAUUGGGCGUAAAGCGGAUGUAGGUGGCUCUAUAAGUCAGACGUGAAAUCCCUCGGCUUAACCGGGGAACUGCAUCUGAUACUGGAUGGCUUGAGAUUGGGAGAGGGAUGCGGAAUUCCAGGUGUAGCGGUGAAAUGCGUAGAUAUCUGGAGGAACACCGGUGGCGAAGGCGGCAUCCUGGACCAACACUGACACUGAGGAGCGAAAGCCAGGGGAGCAAACGGG
Molecule: ribosomal RNA, 253 nt
Filed under: uncultured bacterium
Lineage: Bacteria
Description: partial 16S ribosomal RNA
Rfam family: Bacterial small subunit ribosomal RNA
Source: RNAcentral